RNAcentral lists this long non-coding RNA (378 nucleotides) under Phascolarctos cinereus (koala). RNAcentral's name for it is "lncRNA (ENSPCIG00000001691.2)". Lineage: Eukaryota; Metazoa; Chordata; Mammalia; Diprotodontia; Phascolarctidae. The record is from RNAcentral.
UGGAGGUGAGCUGCCAGAGGAGCUUUUGACAAACCACAAUGGUCUAAAACAUUAAUGUGAAAUAGGAGGAAGACCACUUGCAAUACCUGGUUGGACAGCCUUCUUCAUUGGGAUUAAAACCCUGCUGUGUUAGCAUCCUCAUGAGGGACGUAGCAGAAGUCAAGAUCUAGAGUUUACCCUUGGAAGGAUGGAAUUUACAUACAGGAGAAAGAAUCCAGCAGAAGCCACCCUGAGUGAUAGAGGAUAUGCUAAACCGGUGUGAACCUUCUUUGCUACUUGAGGUGAGAGUGAAUGGAAUGGACAGCUGAUCUAUCCGUGGGAUUUCAGAGGCAACAUGGAAUGAUGGAUAAAGACUUGGAGUCAGAGUGAGAAGGAGGU